GCCGGGCGCGGUGGCUCACGCCUGUAAUCCCAACACUUUGGGAGGCUGAGACGGGUGGAUCACCUGAGGUCAGGAGUUCGAGACCAGCCUGGCCAACAUGGUGAAACCCUGUCUCUA
Unclassified non-coding RNA from Pongo abelii (Sumatran orangutan), 117 nucleotides. It matches the Rfam family "Metazoan signal recognition particle RNA". Rfam says of the family: The signal recognition particle (SRP) is a universally conserved ribonucleoprotein. It is involved in the co-translational targeting of proteins to membranes. The record is from Ensembl. NCBI's taxonomy places the organism in Eukaryota, Metazoa, Chordata, Mammalia, Primates, Hominidae.